CUGAAGCAUAUAAGUUGGAGAGUAACACGUAAUCCCCACUCUCAUCCCUUCUCAAUGUCAGUAGUUUCUCAUUUGCACGCCUACCCAGCUCAACAUUUCCAUGUAUUCUACAAGCCCCUAGAAGAGUCCUCCAAAUUACAGCAUUAGGUUCAAUAUUCAUACUUUCUAUGAACUCAAAUGCAUCAUUCAAUAGCCCUGCACGCCCUAAAAGAUCCACCAUACACCCAUAGUGUCUUUCAUUUGGCUCUAAGCCAUACACAUCUUUCAUAACAUUAAAAUAUUGACGCCCCAUUUCGACUUUACCAGCAUGACUGCAAGCAACUAGCACUCCAACAAAAGUGAUUUCAUUUGGUCUGAUAUUUUUCAACCUUUGAAUCUCUGCAAACAAAUUGAUCGACUCCUCAGCGUGGCCAUGAAAAGCCAAACCUAAUAUAACUGAAUUCCAUGUUGAGACAUCUUUCUCCCUCAUCCCUCUGAACACUUCAAGUGCUCUUUCAAUACUGCCACACUUGGCAUACAUGUAUAUAAGCGCAUUCCCCAAUAAUACACUCAUAUCUCCUAAACUCAUCUCCAAAAUUGAGCGAUGCACCUUCAUGCCAACAUCCAAAUCACCCAAAUCCGUGCAAGCUGACAAAAGACUCAGCAUAGUGACCUCAUCUGGCUGCUCUCCUACACCUCUCAUCUCUUCAAACAUCUCCAAUGCCUGCUUGUUCUCCCCAGAAAGCACAUAUCCUGCAAUCAUCACGUUCCAAGUCACAACAUCCUUUUUAGGAACCUCAUCGAAGAGUCUCCUUGCCAACUUCAUCUCCCCUUUCUUAGCAUAUGCUGUAAUCAUCACAUUCCAAGCAACCAAAUCCUUAACUGGCAUUUCAUCAAACAGCUGUCUCGCCAUCCUCAAUUGCCCUCUCCUUGCAUAACCUGCAGUUAAAGCAGACCAUGCAACAAUAUCCCUUUCUCCUGAAUCAUAAAAAAUGGCUCUAGCUAUCCCCAAAUCCCCACAGUUAGCAUGAUGAUAAAUAAGGGUAUUUCUCACAAACUUAUUAUCUUCAAACCCGUACUUGACGAUCUUUCCAUGAAUACAAGAACCAGUUUUUCUCCAUUCAAGCCUGGUACAAGCCUUAAGCAAGAAAGAAAACGUGAACUUAUCAGGCUUUAUACCGGUUCCCUCCAUCUGGGAAUAGAGUGAAAAUGCUUUUAAUGGGUGAUGACUUUGAGCUGAACCUCUCAUCAUUGUGUUCCACAUGAAGAUGUCCGGUUCGGAAAUCUGAGCGAACAGUUGAUGGGCAUAGUCUAUGGUGCCAGAAAUGGACAUAGCACUGGCGAAAAUGAGUUCCCUUAAGGCUGAUGAGCAUGAAUUGAAGCCUUUGGUUAUAAGGGAAGCAUGUAUUUGCUUUAGAGAGCGAAGGUUUGUACAGUUUUGCCAUAGACUUGACCGCUGCUGGCGAUUGGAGCUCCUGUCGUUAGUUCUCUUCCUUAUCAUGACAAGAACUGCAGCUUUUCAUCGCUUCCGCGCGCGAAAUGGAAGUCAGUUGUCAGCCUCUAGCAAUGGAAGGAAGCUAAUAAGCCAUGGGCGUGGCAUUUAUCCACCAUCAUAACUGAUAUUUUCACUUGCAGCAGCAAAUUUUGUAGAAUGGAUGCUCAGAUAACAAAUUGAAGGAUUGCCGACGGAAAGCCGCUUUCCACAAAGGUUACUCGCCCGAUGUUUUCACAACUCAAGGGCUUCCCCGCUAGAAGAUUAAUGACAAAUCGCAUAACUUAACGCCUGUGUUGAUAAAUUACUUAGAAAUUUUGAACAGGCACAAGUUACAAUUAUUAUUUCUGAGGAUAAAUAACCUCUAAAUUUUUUUAAAUAUCAAAUUUAAAAUCUAAAAUAUUAAUAAAUCAAUAUUUUUAGCCAACUGUUGGUUAUGUGGACAAACUUAAAUUAAUGACUAUUUAUAUCACUAAUUUACAGUUAUGUUGUUAAAAAGUUAGAAAUUUAGGGAUUUGAAUGUUAACCAUUUCUAUUUCACUUAUAAUGGUAGUUUAAAUUCAAGAGCAAAGAAUCAAAAGUUUGAUUCCUCAUCAAUAAAGACGUUUUCAAUAUCUUCAUCCCGUAGCAAAUUAACUUCUUUUUGGGGCAACAACGACGCUGGUGGUAGGAUCCAAUCAACAUUGAAUCGGAUGAUUAUGCAGAUUCGUAUGGGGUAUAAUGGAAUUACCUCUACAAUCAAUAUUUUUUGCAAGUUGUUUGCAAAUAUAUUUUGGAUGGAUUUUUUUAAAAUCUUAAAUCUAAGAUAGUGAAUAUAUGGUAAGAGUUAUUCUGCUUUCGUUGCACAAUAUAAUCACUAAUAUUCUUAGUCACUCCUUUUUUUUUUUUUGUAAAUUUUUAUAUUUUCAAUUUUAAUUCUAUCAAAUAGGAUUUGAAUACAAGUUCUAAAAAAAAAAUUCAAAAGUUAAUGAGGGUUUAUUUAGACAUUAACAUAUAGUUUAGGAAUUAAAUUGUAUGUAUGCCUUUUAAAUAAAUAACAUCCGACUAUAUAAUGCUAAUAUCAAUAUCAAUAAUAAUAAUAAUAAUAAUGGUGAUCGUGAACUUGUAAUAACUACAUCAGAGUUAAAUGUGUAGCUCUCCCAAUUCUUCUGCCCUUUAACUCAAAAAAAAAAAAGCAAAAUAAUAAUAAGUGGAAUUUUAUGAUUCAAUUAAAAUACUUUAAUUAUUAAUAUUAAAAUUAGAUUAGAAAUAUUUUUUAAUUUUAAUUUUCAUUAAAAUCUAAUAAUAAUAUGAUUUGAUAACAUAUAAUCCUGAUCGAAAUAUGUAAUUUUUAUCUGAUCAGUCUUAAUAAUUAAGAGAACUCAUCUCGAUGUAAAUCAAGUAGACCGAGCAUAACUUAAUAAAAUUAAAUUUAGACGUCGAUCUCUUAUACAUUGAUUAUCUUCUUGAAAUAUUAUUGGGUUAUAAAUGCAAUAAAUUAAAGUGAUGUAACCCAUAUAAUAAACAUGUAUAAAUUUCGUAUUUAUUAGUUAAUUAUCCAUUAUUAAUGAGAUGUUUAAUAUAUCUACAAUAAUGUAUUCCGUCCAAUCCGAUAGGAUAUGAUACAAAGAUAUCAAAACAAUCAGAAAUAUAUAUAUACCACUUAUCUAAUCAGGAUGUCAGAUCGACAAAAAAUAUAUAUACUAUUGAUUUAACUCAAAUAAGAAUAUUUUGAAUCUUUACUGAAUCCCCUUUAUCUUCCUCAAAAAAUCUUAAUCUCUCCCCUCCAAAUUCAACACUUAAAUUCAUGAACUUUCAUUAUUGAACCAAUCUCAAUUUAUCGAUUUUCUCAUUAAAUUAAAUUAUAUUUUCAUCUAAUAAUCAUCUCAGUUCAUCAUGAUUAAAUAUAAUUAAAUUAUUUAUUUGAUUAAUUAUCGCUGUGGGAAACGAAUAUAUUUUAGUAUAACUAACUAGUAAUACUAUAAAAUAUAUAGUUGGAAAUUUAAUUUAAAUAAUUUAUCAUAAAGAGUGCUAAUUUUUUUCAUUGAACCUAUUGUUUUUUUUGUUUUUUAAAAGGCAAAUUGUUAUUGAUGAUAUAAGAACUCUAAAGUCCACAUGUAUUGUAAUUUUCUUCUUAAUUAGACUGAGCUUGAAUAAAAUAAAUUUCAAUCUCAAAUAUCCAAACUAGGUAAGUUCAAUUUAAAAAAAAAAAUCUCGUCUAAGCUUAGCGUAUAACUUCAUAUUUGAACAUAUACAUGCAAAUUAUUUUUUAAUACGACGGAAAAUUUGCAUACAUAUAAUUAGCUAGGGAAUUUUAUUUUGCUCCAACAGGAUAUCUACUCCUAGCCCUCAACACCACAAUAAAUUCCCAUCCAAAGGAUGCGCCUGGUCCCAGAAUGACUGUGAGAGGCUAAAUUUACCCAAAAUUUUCUCCCAAAAAUGUGCUUUGAAUGGAGUCCAAAAAAUCUGCCAAUUUUUAACCAAUCCUUCGUAUACCUAUUUGUCAGCCUACUGAGAAAAAGUAAUCAGAAUACAUCAAGAAAAUUGGAGGACUACUUGAAAAUGCCUUGCCAAAGGCAAAUGAAUACAUUAAUGGUGUUAUCUUUUAUCCACAUAUUGCAUUUACAUGAAUAGUUGAAUGGUACUCAUCUUUAUUUGAAAAAUAUAAUUAGCAUAUUACUAUUAUUUUGGUACUCCAAGUCAUUAAAUCAGCACAACAGAAACAGACUUGGGAGCAAUUCUAACUAAGAUGCAGCAGUUGCCAUUUGAUUUUUCAAAUUUAACUUGUGAUUAGGAUCUAACAAAAAUUGCAGACGAGCACUCUCAUCUGCCUCAAUUAGGCUACAGCCAGGUUCUUUCCUCGCUCCACUACUGUCCAUUAACUUCCUAACGUUCUGCGCCCCAUCCCACUCACCCAUUGCAGCAUAUAUAUUGGAAAAUAACAUAUAAUCCCCCUUCUUAUCACUUCUCAUUUCAAGUAGUUUCUCAUGUGCUUGCCUGCCUAGUUCAACAUUUCCAUAAAUUCUACAAGCGCCCAGUAGAGUCCUCCAAAUUACAGCAUUAGGUUCAAUCUUCAUAUUUUCUAUGAACUCAAAUGCAUCAUUCAAUAGCCCUGCACGCCCUAAAAGAUCC
RNAcentral lists this long non-coding RNA (4582 nucleotides) under Manihot esculenta (cassava). RNAcentral's name for it is "long non-coding RNA (MESC_LNC000489)". The record is from RNAcentral. Lineage: Eukaryota; Viridiplantae; Streptophyta; Magnoliopsida; Malpighiales; Euphorbiaceae.